AUACGAAGGUCCCAAGCGUUAUUCGGAAUCACUGGGCGUAAAGAGUACGUAGGCGGUUUGGUAAGUCAGGUGUGAAAUCCCGGAGCUCAACUCCGGAACUGCAUCCGAUACUGCCAGACUUGAGUAAUGGAGAGGCAGGUGGAAUUCUCGGUGUAGCAGUGAAAUGCGUGGAUAUCGAGAGGAAGACCAACGGCGAAGGCAGCCUGCUGGACAUUUACUGACGCUGAGGUACGAAGGCUAGGGGAGCGAAAGGGAUUAGAAACCCCAGUAGUCC
Molecule: ribosomal RNA, 274 nt
Filed under: uncultured bacterium
Lineage: Bacteria
Description: partial 16S ribosomal RNA
Rfam family: Bacterial small subunit ribosomal RNA
Source: RNAcentral